This is a long non-coding RNA of Nomascus leucogenys (northern white-cheeked gibbon), 274 nucleotides long. RefSeq lists it as uncharacterized. The record is from RefSeq and is a predicted model, not a curated record. NCBI's taxonomy places the organism in Eukaryota, Metazoa, Chordata, Mammalia, Primates, Hylobatidae. The transcript has 3 exons.
GCCUGCUGCCAGGAUCUGGGUGGUCAUGGCCACCCAGGUGACCACACCGCUGUACUGCAGACUUACAAAAGAGGUAGAAGACAUAUGCUUCCCAUUAGGCGAGAAAGAAACACGCCUGAGAGUCUAAUGGAUUACUCAAGUCUGUGCUGCCAAAGAAGAACAGAAUCUUUAGGUCUUCUGUGCAAAGUUGUGUCCACCCCCAAAGUCUGAAGUGGCUCCAUUCACAAACUUACAUGGAAUUUGGACUUGGCCAUCUUUCCUUUCAAGAAUAUAA